This 337-nucleotide ribosomal RNA is filed under the name Graphis scripta. RNAcentral describes it as "partial large subunit ribosomal RNA". It matches the Rfam family "Eukaryotic large subunit ribosomal RNA", at positions 196 to 538 of the family's 3401-position model. The record is from RNAcentral. Lineage: Eukaryota; Fungi; Ascomycota; Lecanoromycetes; Ostropales; Graphidaceae.
CAGGGCGUCACAGAGUGUGAGAAUCCCGUAUGUGACCAAUCAUCGAUUCCAUGUGAAACCCUUUCGACGAGUCGAGUUGUUUGGGAAUGCAGCUCUAAUGGGUGGUAAAUUUCAUCUAAAGCUAAAUAUCUGCCAGAGACCGAUAGCGCACAAGUAGAGUGAUCGAAAGAUGAAAAGCACUUUGAAAAGAGAGUCAAACAGUACGUGAAAUUGUUGAAAUGGUUGCGAUUGCAAUCAGACUCGUUUGCAGAAGCUCAGCCUUCCUUCGGGAUGGUGUAUUCUUCUGUUAACGGGCCAGCAUCAGUUUCGUCGGCUGGAUAAAGACUUCGAGAACGUA